Molecule: long non-coding RNA, 890 nt
Filed under: Vigna radiata
Lineage: Eukaryota; Viridiplantae; Streptophyta; Magnoliopsida; Fabales; Fabaceae
Description: long non-coding RNA (VRAD_LNC015634)
Source: RNAcentral
AGGAUCAAUAGAGAAUAAUGACACAAACAGAGAUUAGCAAUACUUAUCUCUUGAAUCCCGAGGAAGAGAACCUAAGCUCUGAUUACCACAUGGUACAACCCAUUCCGAGACAGAUCGACGAGGAACAUCGAAUCUGACACGGUUUGAGCCGAUAACCUGAGAAUCAGCGAAAAGCUCGAUUUGGAAGUUGAAGACGCAGUAGAAGACUGAAGGCGAAGACUACGAACCCUAGGUUUGGGAGGAUUUGUUCGGUGAAAAAGGUUAGGGCUGGGAGUUUGGAAGGUCUUAGAUGGUGGAAAAGGAAGAUCUCAUCGAUUGAAUCGGUGGAACGGAAGAUAUCUAGGUUUGUUUGGGGUUUUCACUUGGUACAUAGGAAGGAAAUCGUAUGAAGAAGGGUAAUCUGGACUGUGGUGCGGUGGAAAACGACUGGCGGAGGUGGAUCUGUGAAGAACACUUGCGAGGAGAGAUUCGAGAAGGAAACCCUAAGCGAAAGAGAUCUGUGGCGUCGAAUGAGGUUGAUGAUGAAGUGCGAAAAUGACGAUGGAAUGGAGACUUUGGUGUGGCAGUAAAUAGUAGAGCCACACGGAAGCUUCGUAUUGGAACGAGUGGCGUCAGAGGAUUGGUGGAUGCGGAGGAGUGAGAAAAUCUGGCAAUGGAAAAUGAGAGGAAAAGCAAUGUGAUUGGAAGGUGGCUAAGGAAUCCCAAGGAAUCCCUUGGAUUCUUCAGCCUUGACUUUCAAGGAAUUAAGUCUGGAGUAUACUCAACAGAAAAUUAAUUCAUUAUCUCAAAAGUGCUUACAAUAAGUGUAGGCAUGACUAUUUAUAGGACUAGAAGUCGCACAUGCCUAACACAAUACAAAGUACAUAAAAGAAAGACUACACUAAAGACAU